UUGAUCAGAUGCAACAGAAUAAGUUCUAGGACAUAUAUAUAGAAUUUAUUUUCAUAAGACAUUGUAUAUCAAAAUAUUACAAAAAGGUCAUGGAUGUCCAGUAAUGCAUUACCCUCGCCCCACCCCAGGGUAUUCUUUUAGACAUUUACCCAUGAUUCAUCUACACUGUCAUCUCACCUCACUAUUAAUCGAUUGAUUGUUGUUUAACUUCCCUCUCAAGAAUUUUUCACUUGUAUGGAGACGCACCCACUUGAUGGUGGAGAGAUGUAAAUUUUGUCGUAUACUCGGAGCCUUUGUCAAUUUAAGCAGUGAGGGAUAUUUUUCAUGCAAGUACCUGUGACAUAGUUUAAACGGUCUCAUAUGAAGUAUCCACAUCUCCAUGUUCCACAGUGUGCAACGUAAUCACCUCAGUAUUAAAAUGGGAUGAAACCCUUGUAUACAGUUUAAAUGAAUAAUAAUAUUAUAUAUACAUGUAUUGAAUUUUUUUUUUAUAAAAUGACUAAUAAACUUGUCAACAUUGGCCAUCAUUAAAUAUGUGUUUGUAUCCAGACUAUCCAGAUUAGUUGGUAGGUUUUUUUUUUGCCUUACAGUAUUGAAAAAUAUUGAUAACUGUCAUAUUAAAAAUCACAGACUCAGAAAUCUGUUGAAGUUUUAAAAAAAAAAUUGAAGUGCUGAAAAAAUGAUUACUAAUGGUAGGGCAGAUUUUAAUGGGUAAGGCUGAGUACAUCAAACAAAUCAUUUUGUUAUUGUUGGCCUUAGUAGGGGCACUCUAGAUAUGAAAAUACAGUGUGUAAAACAAAUAUUUUUAAAUCAAAUUUUUUUUUAUGAAAAGGCCUUAGACAUUUUUUGGUAUAAAAAGGACAAUUUUAGUCUGUUUUUCUUGUAAAAAUAUUGAUAAAAUUUAAUGAAGAAGGUUAAGAUUUGUAUUAAAUAUCCAGUAAAUGGAUAUUUACCAGAUUUAUAACUCAUUACACCUAAAUUAUCAGUAAUGCAUACUGGAACAACUGUGCAAUAAUUCGAAUGACAUUUUACAGAAGUUUGCUAAAUUACAGGUUUUUGUCAGCUUAUCUGGAAAUCUUAGGACAUCACUGAUUUGAUCAAGAACUCAUCCAGCGUGAAGACCAGCCAUGUGCCUCACUUGUCGUGACAUAAUUAAAGCGCUUUGUGACAGUGGGAAGAUGGGAUUUAAAACAUGACAUGGCUCUAUAUUACUGCAUCAGAGACCAAUCCAGGUUUACGUAUAAAGUGAAGGAAAACAGUCAAGCAUCAUUUGGAGCCACGUGUACAUAUGUAACCGCCUAGACGCCUUUACAAUAUGACCUCUUAUUUAAGAAAUCACAGUGACCAGUUGUACCUAUGAUGUCGGACGAGAUCCUGAUAAAAACUUCUGUUGCACUCAUCACUACCUGCAAAGAAAUGAAAAUUUUAAAUGACUUGUAUCAACACUUUUGUACUACAUCUGGCUUGUAUUUUCAGAUCUUGUUAGCCUUUAUUUUCCUUCAAACAAAAUUUUAUAAGUACUAACCUGCAGGUGUAAAAUGUUUGAAACAAUUUGCUUGUCUCAGAAGAAAAUUCUCUGCCAUUUAGCAGUGUCAUGAGCAGUUGAUUGAGGUCACAAUUCCACCGGCAAAGAGUACACUGGGUAUUUGUAGCUGAAUGGUGCCAAAUAAAACACUUUUCACAAGAACCUGGCAAAUGUAUUAAAGUGGAAGUGAGCAUCUACACAAAAAAUGAAUACUUUCUCAAAUAUUAACAGUGAUAUAUUAUGCCUGUGUACAUCCUAAAUAUAUAUAUAUAACUAAUUACACAAGUAACUAGGAAAUAUACAAUGUCAACUUCCUUAAUUUUUUUCUCAAGUUCAUGUAUAGUGUAUCAAAAUAAACAUGCAAUAUU
Saccostrea cuccullata (small rock oyster) is the source of this 1893-nucleotide long non-coding RNA. RefSeq lists it as uncharacterized. The transcript has 2 exons. NCBI's taxonomy places the organism in Eukaryota, Metazoa, Mollusca, Bivalvia, Ostreida, Ostreidae. The record is from RefSeq and is a predicted model, not a curated record.